Nicotiana tabacum (common tobacco) is the source of this 837-nucleotide non-coding RNA. The record is from RefSeq and is a predicted model, not a curated record. Lineage: Eukaryota; Viridiplantae; Streptophyta; Magnoliopsida; Solanales; Solanaceae.
CAGCACUUGUAUCCAAAUACGUAACUGCUUAUUUAUUAAAUCAGUUUCAGCACUUAAAAUACUUUUCAGCACCUAAUACUAAUUUGAGUAUAAAAUAUGAUGAAAAAUACUACCUAGUGCUAUUUGAUUUCAUAUAUAUACCACUCCUAUAUUUCCUAUAUCCAACGUCUACUUAUUUAAAAUGGAGAAAAACCUAAGUUGAUCGUUGCUAGUUUCCUCAGAAACCAUGAUUAUGACCACCGCCACACAAACCGCCGCCUCCGAUAUGGUGACCGCCACCCCAAUCGCUGCCUCCGUGAUGAUGACCGACACUCAAACCGCCGCUUCCGUGAUGGUGACCGCCACCAGUAUGGUGGUGGCCACCGGCAGUAGUAGGUUGCAGCUGAUGAAUAAACAUAUUCCUUAUGCCCUUUCUUUAUGUCGAGCUCCUUUUUUCUGCUGCUAGACUUUUUGCUAAGACACAAACCCAUGGUAAUGUGUGUAUACAAUGAAGAAACUAGAAGAAUCAAGAAUGUUAGUAAAUAAGAACGAAGAAGAGAAACUGAGGAAGACGGAUGAAAGGGGAUGAUGGUUCAAGCUAAGGGGGUAAUCUUUCAGCUUUGUUUCUUUGCGUAGAUAUAAACUAAAAAAACUUAUAGAAUGACAGUUUUAUAUAGAAAAGGUCGUCCUCCUCCAACCGAAAUUUCCACUCGCUAUUAUUAUCUCAGUUUGUAUUGUCUUGGAUUUGAAUUCUUACGUACUAAAGUCUAAGUAUAAUACUAAUAGGUCUUAUUUUAGAAUAUAUUACAUGCUAUGAUUUCGAUUUAAUUUAAUUAGUAGACGAGCUUUUUCGAAGUA